UACGUAGGGGGCAAGCGUUGUCCGGAAUCAUUGGGCGUAAAGCGCGCGUAGGCGGCCCGGUCAGUCCGUUGUGAAAGUCAAAGGCUCAACCUUUGAAUGCCGACGGAUACUGCCGGGCUAGAGUCCGGAAGAGGCGAGUGGAAUUCCUGGUGUAGCGGUGGAAUGCGCAGAUAUCAGGAGGAACACCGGUGGCGAAGGCGGGUCUCUGGGCCGAUACUGACGCUGAGGAGCGAAAGCGUGGGGAGCAAACAGG
This 253-nucleotide ribosomal RNA is filed under the name uncultured bacterium. Its description in RNAcentral is "partial 16S ribosomal RNA". It matches the Rfam family "Bacterial small subunit ribosomal RNA", at positions 524 to 776 of the family's 1533-position model. The record is from RNAcentral.